GUUUGAUCAUGGCUCAGGAUGAACGCUGGCGGCGUGCUUAACACAUGCAAGUCGAGCGAAGCGGUUUCGAUGAAGUUUUCGGAUGGAUUUGAAAUUGACUUAGCGGCGGACGGGUGAGUAACGCGUAGGUAACCUGCCUUGUAGCGGGGGAUAACUAUUGGAAACGAUAGCUAAUACCGCAUAACAAUGGAUGACCCAUGUCAUUUAUUUGAAAGGGGCAAAUGCUCCACUACAAGAUGGACCUGCGUUGUAUUAGCUAGUAGGUGAGGUAACGGCUCACCUAGGCGACGAUACAUAGCCGACCUGAGAGGGUGAUCGGCCACACUGGGACUGAGACACGGCCCAGACUCCUACGGGAGGCAGCAGUAGGGAAUCUUCGGCAAUGGGGGCAACCCUGACCGAGCAACGCCGCGUGAGUGAAGAAGGUUUUCGGAUCGUAAAGCUCUGUUGUAAGUCAAGAACGAGUGUGAGAGUGGAAAGUUCACACUGUGACGGUAGCUUACCAGAAAGGGACGGCUAACUACGUGCCAGCAGCCGCGGUAAUACGUAGGUCCCGAGCGUUGUCCGGAUUUAUUGGGCGUAAAGCGAGCGCAGGCGGUUUGAUAAGUCUGAAGUUAAAGGCUGUGGCUCAACCAUAGUUCGCUUUGGAAACUGUCAAACUGAGUGCAGA
RNAcentral lists this ribosomal RNA (670 nucleotides) under uncultured bacterium. Its description in RNAcentral is "bacterial SSU rRNA". It matches the Rfam family "Bacterial small subunit ribosomal RNA", at positions 11 to 651 of the family's 1533-position model. The record is from RNAcentral.